This 494-nucleotide ribosomal RNA is filed under the name uncultured bacterium. RNAcentral describes it as "partial 16S ribosomal RNA". It matches the Rfam family "Bacterial small subunit ribosomal RNA", at positions 28 to 507 of the family's 1533-position model. The record is from RNAcentral.
GACGAACGCUGGCGGCGUGCUUAACACAUGCAAGUCGAACGGAAAGGCCUGCUUUCCCUUGUGGAUUGCGGGUACUCGAGUGGCGAACGGGUGAGUAACACGUGAGUGAUCUGCCCCCAACUUGGGUAUAAGCCUGUGAAACUGGGUCUAAUUCCCGAUAGGACUGCAGGUUGGUGCCUGUGGUGGAACACGAUGUUCUAGUGGUUGGGGAUGGGCUCGCGGCCUAUCAGCUUGUUGGUGGGGUAGUGGCCUACCAAGGCGGCGACGGGUAGCCGGCCAGAGAGGGUGGACGGCAGCGUGGGGACUGGGACACGGGGCGGACUAGUACGGGAGGCAGCAGUGGGGAAGAGUGGACGAUGGGAGUAGGGCUGAGGCAGCGACGCCGCGUGGGGGAUGACGGGUUUCGGGUUGUAAACUCCUUGCGGCCGCGAGGAAGCCACCUGGUUGAAAGGGUGGUGACGGUAGUUGUAGAAGAAGCACCGGCUAACUACGUG